Long non-coding RNA from Gallus gallus (chicken), 1376 nucleotides. The record is from Ensembl. NCBI's taxonomy places the organism in Eukaryota, Metazoa, Chordata, Aves, Galliformes, Phasianidae.
CUAAUAAGCAGUUGACCUCAUUCUGUCCAUCAGUCAUAGUGCACGCUAGAAGAGAAGAUAAUAAAGCCAAAAACAGACGUUCCAUCUGUUACAUCUGUGAUGUAAGCUCCCAGAAGUGAAGCAGUUCUUAGGUGACACCAAAAAGCAAUUGACAUCCAGUUGUAUUCUGCAGCACGUGCUGUUCUCUGGGGUUGCAUAAGGAUAAAGGGACUGUGUGCUUGAAAUGCUGACAGCUGUGUUUGACUUUUAAAUCACAGAUGUCAUUAGCAGGUUUUGAAUUCUGUCCUGCUUUAUGAACAGAAGGAUACAGAAGUGAUGUCAGGGGACAGAGUUUGUUCAAACCUGAGGUCCUUAUAUAGACUUGUAUGGGCUAAAAGUCUUAAUUUACUGGAAUCUACAAGCAUCAUGCAUUGAUGAUGGGGCUACUAAAUAUCUAAAUAUUGUACAGGCAUGUGGCUUGGCCAUGCUUUCUGUGAUGUGCUGAUAACACCUGGAAUACCAACAGCAUUUCUGAUUUCUAGAUCUUGAGAAGCUGGAAUUGCGAAGUAGAGAGAAUAGAAGGAGCUGAAGACUACUAGCCAAUAGGAAAUGUUCCUAUUUGAAGUGCUUUUUCUUCUUAAAUUAGCACUGGUUAUGGAGAUUAUUUUGGAUUAACUAGGGCUUUUAUUUUCCUUUGAGUGAUUGUUUUCCUCAUUGAACCUGUUUUUUGUAGUGAUCCUUCUAUCCUUUUCAGGAGCUCAGUGAUGCAGAAAUUGAUCCUUCCAGGACAGAGGCUGUACCAUUCUUAAGGGAGAACGGAUGACAUCUGCUGAACUGGCAGUCCUGCUCUGUGUCCUGCCUGCAUGAAGUUGGACCGGUGUGUGGCAUGGCAGGAAACUGUCCUUGCCUUCUGAAAUUUGCCUUUGGGCACUUCAGCUGUCUUUUUAUUUCAGCUGUCAGCUGUGUGUUUCAGAGCACAGUGAGCCUCAGAGUGCUUGUUCAGAGGAAAAAGGAGGGGAAAAAGCCCACAUCCUGAGACUUGGACUUGAUCUAAAUUUCUAAAAUAUUUACAGAGAACAAAAAGUCCAAUUACAUCAAAGUCGCCUGACAGGCGGGCGGCAGCAGCACGCUUUGCUUAGCUCAUGGGGGGUUUGGUGACUUGGAACGUCUCCCAGUUGGGCUCUCCAGGCUGGGAGAGUUCAGCAGUUGGCAGAGGGGUGAUGCUUACACUGGCAGUAGAUCCAAGAGCUUGGGUUGAGCUGGCGGCACAAAAGGCCCUGCUCCUCUGUUGGCUGGAGGGGUGGCACAUUGCCCCCUGCCUUGCUACAAAGGUCAUUAAGAUGCCAGCCCUUUCCCUGAACUGUUAAACAGAUUGUUGUUGUUGUUCUGCUUUUAGC